Molecule: long non-coding RNA, 1028 nt
Organism: Dalotia coriaria
Lineage: Eukaryota; Metazoa; Arthropoda; Insecta; Coleoptera; Staphylinidae
Exons: 4
Source: RefSeq, a predicted model, not a curated record
AAUGUGUAGAUAAUAAGCUCCGAUGAUACCUGACGCAUGAGAAUUACUGUUUGAUCAGAUGCGAGGAAAACAAAGCAUGAAACUGUGUACAAUAACAAUUCAACUGUUUGUCGCUACUGUUGUAAACAGAUACGAACAAAUAUAAAAACGAGUGGCACAUUUUAUAUAAGAUCAAUUGGAAUAUAUAAAGAUAUUAUAUGUUUUAAUACCCUAUAAUAGUAUUUAAACAUUUUUAAAGCAAAUUUUGUUAAUUUCAUUGUAGAUUUUAUUAAAGAUGACGGCAUUCGGACAAUACCAUCAAAGAAUGUUCUUGAUUGUCAACUUUCUGUUAUUAAUCCUAUACUGUAUGAUUAUUUACAGUAUUGACGAGGUUUCAUUUGGAUCUGCCUACGACAGAAAAAAAGAACGAAUAUUUUCCUUAUAUUAAAUGAAAUAAUCUUUCAGAUUAUCGCGUACGUAAUAUUGUAUUUAUUGUUUUUCUUUUAUCUGUUUUAAAUUAAUUAAAUUAAUAAUACAAUUUGUAAUGCAAACAUACAAUGGAAAGAUUACCUAUCCAAGAAGUGAUAACGUGUGCAUUACAAUCACAGUUAUAAUGUAACUUUCCUGUUGGAUACUUCUAUAUAAAAACAAUUUCUAAAAGAUAAUUUUCAUUUCAUUUUUAUUGUUCGUUAUUGUUGAUCAAUGUUUGUCUGGAAGUAUUUCAUCGUGUUUGGUUUCCUUUUAGCAAUUAUACCUUUUGCUUUAAGGAGACGUGCAAAGCGAAAUGAAAAAGAAAACACAUGCCUUGAUGUCCUAACGGAGGCGGACAUGUUGAAUAACAUAUGCGUGAAGGAUAUUUGUUAUAAUAAAAUGCAUUUACUAUAAAUUUAUGUUUUUCUGACAUUUAUACGUAAGUACCUAAGAACAAGAAAUAGUCUGAAAGCUUUUUAGUAACAUUAUGAUAACUGGUUUGUAAAAUUAUGAGAUCCGUCCGCCAUUUUGUUGAAAUAUGCGCAUUUGUUAUAAUAAAUAACAUGUAAGCAAGAUAA